Molecule: long non-coding RNA, 10608 nt
Filed under: Fragaria vesca (wild strawberry)
Lineage: Eukaryota; Viridiplantae; Streptophyta; Magnoliopsida; Rosales; Rosaceae
Description: long non-coding RNA (FVES_LNC003926)
Source: RNAcentral
CUUCGCCGCACUUCAAAAGAUAGCCAAGUGCUUCCUCCUCGUGCUUCAGCUCGGAGAUCACAAGCCAAGUGAUAGCUACUGAAAUCAAAUUCCUCAUGGCCAUGAGAAGCGUCCAGAACAGCAGCGUCGACACCAUCAACGCCGCCGCCACCGCCAUCGUCUCCGCCGAAGCGCGCGUCCAGCCUUCCUCCGUCCCCGUAACUACCUUCUCCUCCUCCUCUAGUCUUUUCUGUUUCGCUCACGCAAUUUGCAUGAUGAUAAUCUUGUUGUUUCUGUUUCAAUUCGGUUGUGAUUUUUAUGGAGGUGAUUGUGAAACUGAAAAGUAAAUGAAAAAGUAAAAAAAAGAGAGUGGGAUCUUGCUUUCUUUUCAUGUUGUUGAAUGCUGAAACUGAAAAAGUAGGUAACUUUUGGUACAUGAAAAAGUUAAAAAGUUGAGUGCUUUUGGGUUGCUUUGGAGUCUAGAAUUGAUUUUGGAAAGCAAGUAAUUAUGCAACAAUUUACUCACAAAAAAGAGAGCUUUAGAUGUUGAAUUUUUUGAUGUGGAAGAUGGGUUGGAUUCAUGACUAUCUUAAAGGUGUCUAGCAGUCAUUUGAUAAACUUCGACGAGGUGCCUUGUAAGUCAUAAGUUUGUAGUUUGAAGCUUUGAGCUUGGGUCCAAGUCAUGAAGAUAGCUAAUUGGUCAUAAUAGUGUUGUUACUAUAGCAUUGCAAUGUUAAAUGAUUGAUUUUAUGUUCGUUGUGCAAUGUGUGUACUGUGACUUCUAGACAGAAGUGGACACUUGGUUUGAAUAAUGGUGAGGGAGGGCCUGGGGGGUAUGUUACAGAUUUUGUUCUGUGAGUACAGUAAAAUCUUUGUUUAAGAAUGAUUCUUUCCUCUUAUUUAGUGAUUGUGUUCUACUAUUCUCUUUGUAGUUGUCGUUAAAUAGUUAACUGUUUGAGAUCAAUAAUUGGUUAUAUUGAUUGUUUGUACCAAUGUGUAUAGUCUAGCUUUUUAAAGGAGGCAAUAAUUCAAGACCCUUGCGAAACUAGUGCAUUUAGGGUUUGAAAUCAUUUGAUUAUAGUGAUUUUUUGUACCAAUGCGCAUUAAUGAGUGUAACGGCGGUAAUUGAAGAAGUUCUUCUUCUGAAAUAACAAACUGAUGCAUGCAAUCAUGUUAUGCUUGAGCUUUACUAGGUAGAAUUGAUCUCAAUAAUGCAUACAAUUAUAUAGUUGAAGCAUUGAGUUAUUGACAAUUUUUGUUAUUUGACUACAGAAAAGAAGAUGGGGAAGCUGCUGGAGCCUAUAUUGGUGUUUUGGAUAUCAGAAAAACAGCAAGCGAAUUGGUCAUGCGGUCCUUGUACCCGAGCCUACAGUACCAGGGGUUGCAGUUCCUGCCGCAGAAAACCAAACUUCCUCAACUUCUAUUGUACUUCCCUUCAUUGCCCCUCCCUCUUCUCCUGCAUCUUUCCUGCCAUCUGAACCACCAUCGUCUACUCAAUCACCUGGUGGAUUCAUGUCAUUCGCUGCCCUUUCUGCCAAUGCAUACUCUCCGGGUGGAACUCAGUCCAUGUUUACCAUUGGCCCUUAUGCAUAUGAGACCCAAUUAGUCUCACCACCGGUAUUCUCUACAUUCAACACUGAACCAUCUACUGCUCCAUAUACUCCCCCUCCUGAAUCCGUGCAACUGACUACACCUUCAUCCCCUGAAGUGCCAUUUGCUCAGNNNNNNNNNNNNNNNNNNNNUAAAUGGAGAUGAUGAACGGGACAUAAUUCAGUCCGUCAGAUUUGUUUUUCGAUUUUGAGAGCCUUAACGAUCACCAAAUUGGCUGAAAUUUUGCAGAGAUGAUCUACACAAGAUGAUCUAGAUAUGUCUAGAAGGAAGUUUGAGGAAAUUCGAUCGGAAAGUGGUGUAAAAAUAGAAAUCCGCAUCAAAACUCAGGUGCGGACGUCCGCACCUGAGAAUUCUUGUAUAUAUAUAUAACCUAGUUAACCUAGGUUUAUACACAUUCCUAAUCAAACUAAGACAACAAUGCCCACGUGAUAACACACUGGGCCUCCUAUUUGGGUUUUUGCUAAUUAUCAAUUGAAGCCCAUAUUUAAUAAAUGUGUAUACUGUGACUUCUAGACAGAAGUGGACACUUGGUUUGAAUAAUGGUGAGGGAGGGCCUGGGGGGGUAUAUGUUACAGAUUUUGUUCUGUGAGUACAGUAAAAUCUUUGUUUAAGAAUGAUUCUUUCCUCUUAUUUAGUGAUUGUGUUCUACUAUUCUCUUUGUAGUUGUCGUUAAAUAGUUAACUGUUUGAGAUCAAUAAUUGGUUAUAUUGAUUGUUUGUACCAAUGUGUAUAGUCUAGCUUUUUAAAGGAGGCAAUAAUUCAAGACCCUUGCGAAACUAGUGCAUUUAGGGUUUGAAAUCAUUUGAUUAUAUUGAAUUUUUGUACCAAUGCGCGUUAAUGUGUAACGGCGGUAAUUGAAGAAGUUCUUCUGCUGAAAUAACAAACGGAUGCAUGCAAUCAUGUUAUGCUUGAGCCUUACUAGGUAGAAUUGAUCUCAAUAAUGCAUACAAUUGCUUUGAGUUAUUGACAAUUUUUGUUAUUUGACUACAGAAAAGAAGAUGGGGAAGCUGCUGGAGCCUAUAUUGGUGUUUUGGAUAUCAGAAAAGUAAGCGAAUUGGUCUUGCGGUCCUUGUACCCGAGCCUACAGUACCAGGGGUUGCAGUUCCUGCCGCAGAAAACCAAACUUCCUCAACUUCUAUUGUACUUCCCUUCAUUGCCCCUCCCUCUUCUCCUGCAUCUUUCCUGCCAUCUGGACCACCAUCGUCUACUCAAUCACCUGGUGGAUUCAUGUCAUUUGCUGCCCUUUCUGCCAAUGCAUACUCUCCAGGUGGAGCUCUGUCCAUGUUUACCAUUGGCCCUUAUGCAUAUGAGACCCAAUUAGUCUCACCACCGGUAUUCUCUACAUUCAACACUGAACCAUCUACUGCUCCAUAUACUCCCCCUCCUGAAUCCGUGCAACUGACUACACCUUCAUCCCCUGAAGUGCCAUUUGCUCAGCUUCUGACAUCUUCGCUGGACCGAAGUCGUAGACACAGUGGUGGCAGUCAGAAGUUUGCAUUGUCCUAUGGCGAAUUCCAGCCUUACCAACAAUAUCCAGGAAGCCCGGGUGGCCAACUCAGAUCACCAGGAUCAGCAAUAUCAAAUUCCGGCACAUCUUCUCCUUUUCCCGACAGAUAUCCAGUGCUUGAAUUUCGCAUGGGGGAAGCUCCCAAACUCUUAGGAUUUGAACAUUUUGCCGCUUAUAAAUGGGGUUCAAGGCUGGGUUCUGGAUCAUUAACACCAGAUGGUGCGGGGUUGGGUUCCAGGCUAGGUUCUGGGACACUAACGCCAGACGGCUAUGAGCUAGGUUCAAGGUUAGCUUCUGGAUCUAUGACCCCUAAUGGUGUGGGAGUCGGUUCCAGGCUGGGUUCUGGAUGUUUGACACCCGAUGGUACAGGGCCUGCAUCUAGAGAAGCUGGCCUUCUGGAGAACAAGAUCUCUGAGGUGGCAUCCCUGGCCAACUCUGAGAGUGAAUGUCAAAAUGAUGGAAAUGUAUUUGAUCACAGGGUGUCGUUUGAAUUGACUUGUGAAGAUGUUGUGUGCUGUCUUGCAAAUAAACCAGGUGCAUCUUUUAAAACUGCAUCAGAAUCGUCAAAGGAUAAGUCAGCUGAAUUCCCAAAUGAAAGACAUGGUUCAUCAAUAACAAAUAAGUCGAGCGCUGGGGACAGUUUCAGUAGAAUUCCUGAAAAUGCUCUGGCAGAAGGGGAAGAUCAUUGUUAUCGGAAGCAUAGAUCAAUCACACUUGGAUCAACAAAGGACUUCAAUUUUGACAACACAAAAGCUGAUGUUCCCAAUAAGUCAGACCUUGGCUCAGAGUGGUGGGCAAACAAAAACGGUGCUGCUAAGGAAUCUAAACCUGGCAAUGACUGGACUUUCUUUCCAAUUCUACAAGCUGGAGUUAGAUGACAUAGGAGGGCUCAACAUUCACUUUACCUCCCCAUCUGAUGUAUAGCGUUGUAAAACCUCAGAUCACAUUGAUGAUUAAUUGAUGGAGGGCAGAGGUGAGUGUUUCUUAUGACCUGGAAAAACAAAAGAUAAAUGCAGAGGAUAUAGAAUGUAGAAUUGUUAGUGUGAGUACUAAAAAGGAAUUCUUUAGAAUAUCUCUUUACUUGAUGUUAUACAAAAGGAUAGCAUUCACUUGUUGUAGAUGUUGUUGUUCUGGAUUAUUUUUUCCUCAAUUUGUAAUAAAGAAAAGUUCUUUACCCCCAUGAAUGUUCUCUUUUGGUUCAUAAUCUCUGUUUUCUUAAUAUUGGUGUUCUUCACGAUUUUCUUUCUCUCUUUUUCAUGAUUCUUUGAUAAUAGAAAUCUAACAAACUUGGGUGUCUUGAAGAUGUAGGGCAUGAACUUCAUUCUCUGGUCCAAUGUUUGUAGGGUAAUGUAAGUUGGUGUCAACACUUGUAAUGCUGGCUGAGGUCCUAAGGAUAACCAUGUAUAUAUAGAUAUGAUUGAUUGAAGUUUGCUGGGGACUAAUGGCCAAACCUUGUCCUUGUCCUUCCCCACUUGCCCAAAUACAGAUUAUAGGCUUGAACUUAGAAGGAACCAGGCUAUGACCAACAAACCAGGAGACCAUGAUAAACAACAAAGAAAUAGAGCCAAAUGAGCAUUAUUUUCAGGACCAAUUCUAAAAUUUUAUGGCUCAAAUUCCAACCUCAUCACUAUCAGGAAUUCAGGAUGUUAUAGAAGCAUACACUGUAGUGUGGCAAAUUACAGACCAAAAGAUCUAUCUGUCUAUCAAUGCCGACCUAUUCUCAUAUGGUUUUAGCUUCUAUGUGGUGAAGGUUCAACCUUGUUGUUGUUAAGGAAGGUCAUCUUGGACUUUUAUUGCAUUGUUUCCAAGUUCUAUUUAUUAAUUUCAUAUGAAAAUGAUAUAUACCUACAGAAGCUAACAUUACCCGUGAAAUAUUGAACACCCUUUUGAUGUCUAUACUUCAAUAAUGUCUGUCACAUGAUCAAGGCAAACUAUCUUUUAUGGCAUCUAAAUUGGUUUAUUCGAUUCGUUUUGAUUUUGUUUUCUUUACUAAUUCUGACAAUCGAAAAACCGAACGUGUUAGUCUAGAAAUGACGUAUUAUAAAACACAGGUGUUCCAUUUCUAAUUUUUCUGCAUAACACCUGCUUUCAGUUGUGAUUAGAAAAACAUCUUUAAGUUGACAUUUAACAAUAUAUAGCAAAGUCUUAUUUGGCUUAAGUAUGAACUUGGGCUGCUCUUACCCAUACUGCAAAAAAAAUAUAUAUAGAAAGCUUUGCCUCACAUAUAUACAAGUAUUAAGUAAACAUGUUUGAUGAGUUAUGAGUCAUGAGUCAGUAUCCGAUGGAGUUGUCACGUUUCCAUCCAAUGCCAACAAAAUAUAAACAUAUAGGUAGCAUAUACAGCUCGAUUAACAUUACCUCUUUGUCGCUCUCGCCUAUAUAUGUUAAAGAAAUUUUGUUCUCAUUUUCUAGAGUCAGCAGAAUAAGAUCUCCAGAUCCGUAACAGUCGUGCUUUACUAAAAUACAGCAGAAACAUAACAAGAGAGCAACCGGUUAUGAUAUAUUCCGAGCUUUACCUCAUAGGAUUUGUUAUCUUUAGCCGAUCUCAAUGUCCAAAACGCGAAGUAUGUCAUGCACCGAAAUAUGAUAGAAUGUAAUGUUUGAACGUUGAACAGUAAAUAAAAUUUAUGUAAGUAGAGUUUGUAAACUGAUGUGACAGUUUACAGUUGCGUUAUAUUGUUGCAAACCUCACAACAGACUUUGUGAUAUGUUACUGCCACCUUCCACCGACUUUGUUUAUCUAAGACACUGAUUGGUACAACCUUAGACCGAGCAACACCAAGAGUUACUAUAUAUAGAUUAUAGUUGUUUAACAAACACAGAGAUUACGAACUUAGGACCCAUGCUUCACCCAUAUUGUCGUGAAAGCCUUUUUCUCUUUCUUUUUGUUUGUUUCUGAGUUUCUCAGAUGUGGGAGAUGAUAAGAAUCUCCACUUAUUACAGAGAUCCUCAUAUGUUUAAUCAACCACAAAAGAUAUUAGAGCCUAUAUAUGAUGGAUGUCCAUCUCGUCCAAAAUCACCAACCUUCUUUUUCAUCAAGUGCUUGCUUUUGAUUUUUACAGCUGCAGAAGACUAGCAGCUUAUACAGCUCUUCCCCAUUACACCAUUUAAUUCUUUGAGGUGAGGAGGAUUUGAUUGUUUGAGGUGUUCUUUUUUUCUUUCUUGUUCUGAAGUUGAAUGGAAUUGAAUCAUGUGGUUCUCUUUUUCUGAAGUAGUAUUUCACAUAUGUGUUUUCUCAGAUGAGCUCAUAACCCUCGUUGCUUUUUUUUGGUCAAACAUAAUCUCAUUGCUUGGACAUGAAUGAUUGGCAGUCUGUUUUGCUUUCUUCCAUACUUUCUAGUUCUGUUAUAUAGAUAUACAGAUAUCAUAAGCUAUGGGAAUUGAGGUGAUUGACAGUUUCAACCUUGCCUAGCUGAUACAAGUUGUGUUUUAUAUUGUUUGAUCAAGUUUCCAAUGAAAUGAUGCAUUGCUGUUUCACAUUCAUGACAUGACCUUGUAUAUAUAACCAAUAGUCUUAUUGUUAAUUGGUUUUCCUGUUUAGGGCCUCUAAGAUUUUGAGCUUCUUAAGUUGUAAACAUGGCAAUGGCUUCUUCUGUCAAAGUGGUUCUAGGCUCCAUUGCCUUUGCAAUCUUCUGGAUGUUGGCGGUGUUUCCAGCUGUCCCUUUUCUUCCCAUUGGGAGGACAGCAGGGUCUCUUUUAGGGGCAAUGCUGAUGGUUGUGUUCCGAGUCCUAACUCCGGAUCAAGCCUAUGCUGCUAUUGAUCUCCCAAUUCUUGGCCUUUUGUUUGGGACAAUGGUUGUAAGUAUAUAUCUUGAAAGAGCAGAUAUGUUUAAGUAUUUGGGGAAGUUGCUCUUAUGGAAAAGCCAAGGAGCAAAGGACUUGAUAUGUAGGGUCUGUUUGAUUUCUGCCAUUUCAAGUGCUCUUUUCACCAAUGACACCUCUUGUGUGGUUUUGACUGAGUUUGUACUAAAAGUUGCAAGACAACAUAACUUACCGCCUCAUCCAUUCCUGCUUGCACUUGCUUCCAGUGCAAAUAUUGGGUCUGCAGCUACCCCAAUUGGCAAUCCUCAAAACCUGGUUAUAGCUGUUCAGAGUAACAUUCCUUUUGGAAAGUUUGUUGUAGGAAUUUUCCCUGCAAUGCUUGUAGGAGUUUGUGUGAAUGCUUUACUUCUUUUGUGUAUGUACUGGAAGUUGUUGUCUAUCCAGAAGGAUGUGGAAGAUGCAACUGGAGAUGUUGUCGCGGAGGAGGAUGUGAGUUCUCAUCGGUUUUCACCAGCCACACUAUCACAUUGUGCAUCCUUCAACUCUGAGGAGCUGAACUCUAGACUAGAAGCCAGGAGUGUGCUAGUUUCUCCAGUUGUUGAAAAUCUUAGGAACCGUGUGCCUUCAACUGAGGCUGAAAUCAAGAGGGUUUCUAGCACUGGUGCUUUUGAGUCUGCAAGAAGUUCAAGUGCAUCGAAGACUGAGGAGACAAAUGAUUUGGCUUCCCAGAAAAAGGAGGAAACAGUUGCUCCAAAAAGGGCUCCAUCAAAGGAAAAACCUAGAGAUACUUGUACUGCUACAGAGGCUUUGGAAGGAAAGGAAACAAUGACCACAAAAUGGAGAAGGAUGUUGUGGAAAUCUGGCGUUUAUCUUGUUACAAUAGGAAUGUUGAUUGCACUUCUUUUGGGCCUAAACAUGUCAUGGUGUGCGAUUACUGCUGCACUUGCACUAGUCGUUCUUGAUUUCAAGGAUGCUCGGCCAAGCCUAGAAAAGGUACAUUUGAGAAAAUUGGUAAUUUUAACGUAUAGAUUACAACUGUUGAUAAGUUUCUAACCAAUGACCCUCAUGAUUUCUCUUAUUUGACCAGGUAUCCUAUUCCCUUUUAAUUUUCUUUUGUGGUAUGUUUAUAACUGUGGAUGGCUUCAACAAAACCGGCAUUCCAAGCGCUCUUUGGGACUUCAUGGAGCCCCAUGCAAAAAUUGAUCAUGUUGGCGGGAUAGCAGUUCUUGCUGUUACCAUACUUCUACUAUCAAAUGUGGCCUCAAAUGUGCCAACUGGUAAUGCUGAUGUUUUCUCCCAUGUAUAAACUUCUUUAUUACUGGUUUUAUGAUAAUGUUGGUCUGUUUGAUGAGGUAACGUUCUAGAAUCAAGAGUUGUUGCGUCGUAUAACUACUCUUAACUGUCUGAAAACUCGUAUUGGUUAUUAUAGACGUGCAUAUGUUUGUGUUACCUAAUGCUUGAUCUCAGUGUGAUUGGCCUUCUGCUGGAAUCCCUUCACAAGGGACUGAAUAUUGUAGUUGCUAGAAGAUAAGGAUAUCUGCAAAACUAAAUCUUCUUUGAUUAGGCAAGUGCUCUCAGGUACUGAUGAAGAAUGAAGCACCAAGUUUCAUCAAUUUGUAAUUAACAUUAGAAUCACAAAAUAGUCUCAUAAGUCAUAAGUCAUAACACAAAUUGAGUCACAAGUUAGAUGUGAACCAUACUACUCAUGAGCCUAGUGUAACAGUAGUCUUGCAAGAUUGGUCACUUUCAUUUCCAUGCCUGCAGAACUUAGGUAUUUAUGAGAGCGGUUAAGUGCUGAUCAGACUGUGAACAUGUUCUUUUUGUGCAGUUCUCUUGCUUGGAGGACGAGUGGCAGCAUCCGCGGCUUUAAUAUCAGUAGCGGAUGAGAAGAAGGCAUGGCUGCUUCUAGCUUGGGUGAGCACGGUUGCAGGAAACCUCUCACUUUUGGGAUCAGCAGCCAACUUGAUAGUAUGUGAACAGGCUCGGCAAGCUCCACACCUUGCAUACAAUUUGUCAUUCUGGAGCCAUCUCAAGUUUGGGGUGCCCUCCACUAUCAUAGUCACUGCUAUUGGUUUGACACUGAUAAGAUGACACUGUUGGUGAUGCAAGGUAUGGUUGUAUCUUUCUUUCUUGUUUUUUUUUUUCUUUUUUUUUUUUUGUUUGAUAAAAAGCUUAGGUUGUAUCACUUGUAUUGUAUGUAUAGCGUUUUGGUUCAAGGAAUGAAAGAAAGAAGUUUGAAGGGUAUUUAUUGGGCUGGAAUAUUGAAUUUGGGGCCUUCACCUCAACGAAAAUUAUACAGCGCACCCGGGUGCGCCGCGCACCCGUCCAUCUCCGCCGUCCAUUUUGAAAAAGUCAAAAGUCCGCGUCAAAUGGACGGGUGCGCUGAAUACGCUCUCUCAGCUCAAGCUGAAAGGGGUAUACUUGGCUGAUUUGGAAACAAACAAGCUGCUUAGUUUCACAAUAUGAAUCGUUACACUCUCACAAUCACAAUCCAAAGACACAGAGACAAGCCAAUGUCAUUUCAACUUGUCAAAUUUUCAACCAAUGAGUCAUGAGUCAUGAGUCAUUAUCAGAUUCAGUUGUCACGUUUCCAUCCAAUGCCAACAAAACAAAAAUAUAUAGGUAGCAUAUACAGAUCGAUUAACAUUAUCUCUUUGUCGCUCUCGCGUGUUAGAAAUUUUGUUCUCAUUUACUAGAGUCAGCAGAAUAAGAUCACCAGAUCCGUAACAGUCGUGCUGCACUUCUUCCUCACUUUCUAUUUUCUUUUUCUUCUCCCUCGUCUCUCUUCUAUUUUCUCUUCUUCCUCUUCUUCUUUCUCCCACUUUUUCUCCUCUUCUCCUUGUUUUUCCUUUUCCCCCUUCUCUUCUCCUUCUUUUCUCCUCUCCUCUCCUCUCUUCCUUCUCUUCUCUCUUCCUCUCUUAUCUUCUCUUCUCCUUCUCUUCUCUCUCUUCUUGCCUUCACUUCUCCUUGUCUUCCUUCUUUUCUUUCUGGCCUCUUUUGCUGUACUUCGGCUUCUCUCCAUAUACCUCUUUCCACUUCUUUUCCAUAUGCACCGGACACACCAAACGAUAGUCAAUGCAAGAUUUCUUCAAGGAUCGAGCCAGGGGCUCUGAUACCACGUGGUGGCAUAUUUGGUUUAGGCUUUUCCGAUCGAGGUAUAGAUAAACAUGAAUGUUGGGAGGAUUAAAGGAAUAAUGUGGAUGCAAAACAUAAGACUAAACAAAGAAGAAACACUAAAAUAAGAACAUAACAUGAAUGGAGAUGUGUAGCCCGAAGGCAUGCACAGAGCUCCUAGGCUAUCAAGGUGACUACCUUAUAGAAUAGGCUUUUAGAUAAGAAACAUAGAGGAUUUUGAUUAAACAACUUGAUACACCUUCAUAUAACUUCAUACUAUGAGUGGAAGAUUACACCAUCCUUAUAUAGGCUCAAGAGCUGCCUCUAGCUCUUCCUAACUCGUAAACAGACAACCUUUUAGCUCUUCCAAUCUCGCCGCACAAUCCGCCCUCCUCCAUCGCCGUAACCGCCGCGAUUCCCGCUCAAACUUCGCCGCACUUCAAAAGAUUUCCAAGUGCUUCCUCCUCCUGCAGCUCGGAGAUCACAAGCCAAGUGAUAGCGAGUGAAAUCAAAUUCCUUAUGGCCAUGAGAAGCGUCCAGAACAGCAGCGUCGACACCAUCAACGCCGCCGCCACCGCCAUCGUCUCCGCCGAAGCGCGCGUCCAGCCUACCUCCGUCCCCGUAACUACCUUCAC